Nannospalax galili (Upper Galilee mountains blind mole rat) is the source of this 1277-nucleotide long non-coding RNA. RefSeq lists it as uncharacterized. The record is from RefSeq and is a predicted model, not a curated record. The transcript has 4 exons. Lineage: Eukaryota; Metazoa; Chordata; Mammalia; Rodentia; Spalacidae.
CGGGAAGGUCCUCCGCGGCUGGCGGUGGCGGUGGCGGUGGGGAUGACAGAGGCUGCGGAGAUGAUGACGGUGGAGAUGCCGGAGGAGCCCGGCCCGGUGCGCGGCGUCCCCGGCUCGCCGCUCCGCUGCGCGCUUUGCAUAGGGAGGGCUCGCCUAGGCCGGCCCGGCUGCAGGCAGGGCGCGCGCGGUGGCCGCUCCGGGGCUGGGUGGCGCGGCGGGUGACUGUCCCGGAGACGCGGGCCUCGGCAGCGGGGAGGUCAACACUUCAUGCUUCUCGCGUCUUCUGCCUGGCGCUUAUAAUUACUAUUAUUAUUUUUUUCCCCUUCUUUGCUCUCUGGAUCCCUCGCGUGCGCGCGCUCUCUCUCUCUCUCUCUCUCUCUCCCUCGGUGCAAAGUGCAAGACCGAGGUGCCGGCCGGCUGGAGGCAAGGGAGGGGGAGUUUAGUUCUGUCUUGCUUUUUUUUUUUUUCUCUUUAUAAAAAGCAAAAUUACGAAGUCCUGGGGAAAAGGCCGAGAGCUGAAGGAUGUUGGGGGGCGGGGGGAGGCCGACGGACCCGGAGCCCGAACCACAGCUCCAAGAUGAAAAAAGAUUUUAAAGCCUCUGAUCCAGCGAGAAGAGUUUAAAGCAAUUGCUGAGUUUUAUAGCGCUCGUGACGUCAGGCUCAAAUGGGAAAUUGACUGGCACUCUCCGCCAAUGGGAGGCGGCGAGAGCGGCCGCGAUUAGCAUAAUAGUGUAGAAACAAGGAAACUUUUCCGAGCUGUCAAUCAGGGCCCAAUCAGCUGACUGUCAGCUGGGACCGGCUGGUUUAACCCUUGCACCGCCGCAGCUCCCGGGGACCGGUUGGAAAACAACUCAUGUGGGUUCCGAGGAGAAAGCAGAGAACAGAUAAAUGAGACUCACGGGCUGCUUUCCAGGGGGAGAGCAAGUCUCAAUCUGUUUCCCAAGCCAGCACAGGAGCUCUGACAGGAUGCAUGCUAACUUCUCCAGUGGGUACAGCAGACACAGUGCCUAGGGACAACUGCGGGCCCACAGAAGCAUUUGAGUUUCUUUUAAUACCAGAAGAAAAGAAAGGAACAUUAAUUUAGCAUGGAUUAUGUCACUGUCAUACAGAAGCAGGCAUAAGCCUCGCAAGAAUGCUUAGCGAGUAAAAGUGCUUGCUGUGCAAGCCUAAUCAUUAGUGUUUGUACCCACUGUGGAAGGACAGAACAGACUCCCCAAAGUCAUCCUCUAACCUCCCCAGGCCAUCUGUGGCCCAGCUAUGCCCUCAUCACACAUACA